Molecule: long non-coding RNA, 1201 nt
Filed under: Sus scrofa (pig)
Lineage: Eukaryota; Metazoa; Chordata; Mammalia; Artiodactyla; Suidae
Description: lncRNA (ENSSSCG00055021629.1)
Source: RNAcentral
AUGGUGAGAAUCACGGGGCAGAAGAAUCUCUCUGCAAGGGCUGGGAUGGGCCAAACAAACGGUGCUUCGCCUCUCAGCGGACACCCUUCAUCUUCUAGCGGGGCUCCGCCUGGUUCCAGGAUCAGGCAGGAGGGUGAAGCUUCCGCCCCGAACCGCGGACGCCCUCUCUCUUUCCCAGAAUCAACCCUCACUCUCCAGUGCCUGUGGUUUCAGCAAACUCUGCCCUCUGAUCCUUCAGGAAACAAAGAACACUUUUUAUUGGGGUUUUGUCUUCUCCCCAAGGCUCCGCCUGCCUCCAGGAUAAACGCCAUGCAAACCUGUAACCCAUCCUGUUCUCAUCCUUCAGGAGUCAACGCUGAAUCUCGCGUUUUUCCUCCUUCCUGUGCCUGGAGGUGCUCUCUGUUCGCUUUUGUGUUUGGGAUCCAGAGUUUUAUUUAGCAUCUGUCGGGGGCUUGAAAUGAGGGGAGCAGGAAAGACCUGGGGUCCCGGGAGGGACUGACACUAAACGGGGGACAGGAGCCAGUGCGUGUGGAGGCUGUGGGUGUUGGAGGUGAAAGAGGGAGAAGAUCCGGUUCCUCCCCUGCCCCAAAGAAGGAGGCAGCCAUCCCAGAAGAGGGCCGCGUCUGAGGCUCCCUAUUGGGCGGGUGGAAACGCUUUCCGAUGGAUUACGGAGAGAAGCCUGCUCCACUUCCGGGGCGGGAAUACCCCGACGUCAAGCCCUCAAGCUUCAUCCUUGCCUCUGAGUGUGAAGGAGUCAAGAGGCCAUGAAAAUGACUCUUGGGAAAACACCAGACCGAAAAAAGAGGUGUCGUGCCUAUAAAUGCAAUGCAAUGCAAAGGCCGUGAAAAUUUCCUCUGGGUAUUUCGAGGAGCUCAACCACGUUGAGCCUGCUAUGGAGGAAGAAAAAGUCGUACAUGCUAAGUCGGCUUUUAAAAAAGGCAAAUGAAGCAGAGGGCUUGUCCAGGUAGAUACCAAGACACACCUCCACGGGACAGCAACAAAAAGUGGGCGCUGAAAACGUGUCAAGGGCGCAGAAAAGAGUGCAGAGUAAAACGUGGGUCUGUAUGCGAACUUAAUAUACGGUGAUGGUCGUAGCCAAAGCUAGUCAGGAAAGAGCAGAUGGUUUGGUAGAUAGUAUUGAGGAAAUUGUAAGUAAAUCAAGCAAAAUAAAACUGAAUCUCUACCUAAGACGUAAAUAAUA